RNAcentral lists this unclassified non-coding RNA (827 nucleotides) under Bradyrhizobium vignae. RNAcentral describes it as "partial 16S-23S ribosomal RNA intergenic spacer". The stretch from base 156 to 229 matches the Rfam family "tRNA". The record is from RNAcentral. Lineage: Bacteria; Pseudomonadati; Pseudomonadota; Alphaproteobacteria; Hyphomicrobiales; Nitrobacteraceae.
UCGGAUCGUUUUAGAAACAUCAGUGGCCAACAGAUCGCCAGAUCGUUGAGCUGCAUUGGCGGGAUUUCGCCGUCUUCGUUUCUCUUUCUUCGCGGACGAACACGCGCUGGGCCUGCAACGGCAGGAUCCAGGGUCCUUAACGGGAUGUGCGUUAGGGGCUUGUAGCUCAGUUGGUUAGAGCGCGCGCUUGAUAAGCGUGAGGUCGGAAGUUCAAGUCUUCCCAGGCCCACCACUUUCAUCGAGUGAGCAUUCGUCUUCUGGUUACGGGGCCAUAGCUCAGCUGGGAGAGCGCGUGCUUUGCAAGCAUGAGGUCGUCGGUUCGAUCCCGUCUGGCUCCACCAGAUGGUUUGAUCACCGAGAUCUUGACCGUCGUCCGCGAAACAUCACUUCGCAUCCUGCUAGUCUGGAUAGACAGCAGUUUGCGUGUUUUCUGACAUCGUAAAGAGGAGAUCGAUCCGAGUUGGGUCGUGCAGCAUAUCGUUGCGCGAGCCUUCAUUAUCUCCGGAUCAUUUCGGCGCUCGCUUCCAGCCGUGAGGUUGGAUGCGGGUUGUAAAUGAUCCUUUUAGCGAAGCUUGACCGCCUCGCUAUCGGAACGAUCUUACGAAGCAAGCUGGUCUUUCUAGUCAAUGUCCGGCUGCGGAUAGCGUUCAUCGAGGGCGCGUGCCGCAAGGCAAUUCUGCAGACAACAUUCUGCCGAGUGUGUGGACAUUGAUAAUGAGAGCAAUCAAGUGCCUUAAGGGUGUUCGGUGGAUGCCUUGGCGCUGAGAGGCGAUGAAGGACGUGCUACGCUGCGAUAAGCCGUGGGGAGCUGCGAAGAAGCUUUGAUC